ACAUAUAGCCAAGUUGGAAAGACAACAGACUGCAACUCUGUGAGGCGUAGGUUCGAAUCCUACUAUGUG
Molecule: transfer RNA, 69 nt
Filed under: uncultured Eubacterium sp.
Lineage: Bacteria; Bacillati; Bacillota; Clostridia; Eubacteriales; Eubacteriaceae
Rfam family: tRNA
About the family: Transfer RNA (tRNA) molecules are approximately 80 nucleotides in length. Their secondary structure includes four short double-helical elements and three loops (D, anti-codon, and T loops).
Source: RNAcentral